This is a long non-coding RNA of Oncorhynchus tshawytscha (Chinook salmon), 964 nucleotides long. The record is from Ensembl. NCBI's taxonomy places the organism in Eukaryota, Metazoa, Chordata, Actinopteri, Salmoniformes, Salmonidae.
CGAUACUAUAUCACGCCAGGUGCUCCUAUAUCACGCCAGGCGGCGCUGUGUCACGCCAGGCGUUACUAUAUCACGCCAGGCGGCGCUCCUAUAUCACACCAGGCGAUACUAUAUCACGCCAGGUGCUCCUAUAUCACGCCAGGCGGCGCUGUGUCACGCCAGGCGAUACUAUAUCACGCCAGGCGGCGCUCCUAUAUCACGCCAGGCGGCGCUGUGUCACGCCAGGCGAUACUAUAUCACGCCAGGCGGCGCUGUGUCACGCUAGGUGAUACUAUAUCACGCCAGGCGGCGCUCCUAUAUCACGCCAGGCGGCGCUCCUAUAUCACACCAGGCGGCGCUCCUAUAUCACACCAGGCGCUACUAUAUCACGCCAGGCGGCGCUGUGUCACGACAGGCAAUACUAUAUCACGCCAGGCGGCGCUCCUCCUAUAUCACGCCAGGCGAUACUAUAUCACGCCAGGCGACACUAUAUCACGCCAGGCGACACUAUAUCACGCCAGGCGAUACUAUAUCACGCCAGGUGAUACUAUAUCACGCCAGGCGGCGCUGUGUCAUGCCAGGCGAUACUAUAUCACGCCAGGUGCUCCUAUAUCACGCCAGGCGGCGCUGUGUCACGCCAGGUGAUACUAUAUCACGCCAGGCGGUGCUCCUAUAUCACGCCAGGCGAUACUAUAUUCCUAAACUGUGUUGUCUUUUUUUCUUUCAGCCUAUGAUCCCAACAACAAGCGUCUGCGCCAGAUCAAAGACCAGGUGAUCAACGACUCCAAGUACAACCCCAAGAUCCUGUUCCAGGUACUCCUAGACACCGCCCAGUUUGAGUUCACCCUCAAAGAGAUGUUCAAGAAGAUGCUGUCAGAGAAGCAGCUGAAAUGGGAGAGUUAUCGAACUGAGGGAUCUGAGAGGAUGACCGAGCUGGCUGAGGUCUUCUCUGGGGUCAAGCCUCUAACCAGAGUGGGAAGAAUGG